Molecule: ribosomal RNA, 253 nt
Filed under: uncultured bacterium
Lineage: Bacteria
Description: partial 16S ribosomal RNA
Rfam family: Bacterial small subunit ribosomal RNA
Source: RNAcentral
UACGGAGGGUGCAAGCGUGAUCCGGAUUCACUGGGUUUAAAGGGUGCGUAGGUGGGCAAGUAAGUCAGUGGUGAAAUCUCCGGGCUUAACCCGGAAACUGCCAUUGAUACUAUUUGUCUUGAAUACUGUGGAGGUCAGCGGAAUAUGUCAUGUAGCGGUGAAAUGCUUAGAUAUGACAUAGAACACCAAUUGCGAAGGCAGCUGGCUACACAAAUAUUGACACUGAGGCACGAAAGCGUGGGGAUCAAACAGG